AAUCAACGCUGGCGGCGUGCCUCAGACAUGCAAGUCGAACGCGAAAGUUUCCUUCGGGAGAUGAGUAGAGUGGCGCACGGGUGAGUAACACGUGAGUAAUUUACCUUCGGGUGGGGAAUACUAACCGGAAACGGUUGUUAUACCGCAUAAUGCAGCGGCAUCAAUGAUGACAGUUGUUAAAGCGGGGGAGUUGGAGCAAUCCGACCUCGCGCCUGAAGAGAAGCUCGCGGCAGAUUAGCUAGUUGGUAAGGUAAUGGCUUACCAAGGCGACGAUCUGUAACCGGCCUGAGAGGGCGGUC
RNAcentral lists this ribosomal RNA (299 nucleotides) under uncultured bacterium. Its description in RNAcentral is "partial 16S ribosomal RNA". It matches the Rfam family "Bacterial small subunit ribosomal RNA", at positions 32 to 305 of the family's 1533-position model. The record is from RNAcentral.